RNAcentral lists this ribosomal RNA (504 nucleotides) under uncultured bacterium. RNAcentral's name for it is "partial 16S ribosomal RNA". It matches the Rfam family "Bacterial small subunit ribosomal RNA", at positions 29 to 523 of the family's 1533-position model. The record is from RNAcentral.
AUUGAACGCUGGCGGCAGGCCUAACACAUGCAAGUCGAACGGUAGCACAGAGAGCUUGCUCUCGGGUGACGAGUGGCGGACGGGUGAGUAACGUCUGGGAAACUGCCCGAUGGAGGGGGAUAACUACUGGAAACGGUAGCUAAUACCGCAUAACGUCGCAAGACCAAAGUGGGGGACCUUCGGGCCUCACACCAUCGGAUGUGCCCAGAUGGGAUUAGCUAGUAGGUGGGGUAAUGGCUCACCUAGGCGACGAUCCCUAGCUGGUCUGAGAGGAGGACCAGCCACACUGGAACUGAGACACGGUCCAGACUCCUACGGGAGGCAGCAGUGGGGAAUAUUGCACAAUGGGCGCAAGCCUGAUGCAGCCAUGCCGCGUGUAUGAAGAAGGCCUUCGGGUUGUAAAGUACUUUCAGCGGGGAGGAAGGCGGUGAAGUUAAUAGCUUCACCGAUUGACGUUACCCGCAGAAGAAGCGCCGGCUAACUCCGUGCCAGCAGCCGCGGUAA